UAUUUAAAUCUCGCGCUAUGUAUAUUUUGUUAUAUUAUACAACCUCAUAUCCGUUGACGUCAGAUGGAAAAUGUACAAUAUAUAAAUAAUGAUAUUUGUUAAUACUAUUUUCGUGGAGAAUACGAGAAAAAAGAAGGGAAUAAAUCGAGUUUAACAAGACGCGAAACGAAGACAGUGUUCGGGAAUUUCAAGACGACAAAAUUAAUUGUGUCA
Non-coding RNA from Cinara cedri, 213 nucleotides. NCBI's taxonomy places the organism in Eukaryota, Metazoa, Arthropoda, Insecta, Hemiptera, Aphididae. The record is from the annotation of a GenBank genome assembly.